RNAcentral lists this small nuclear RNA (99 nucleotides) under Saimiri boliviensis boliviensis (Bolivian squirrel monkey). Lineage: Eukaryota; Metazoa; Chordata; Mammalia; Primates; Cebidae. The record is from RNAcentral.
GGGUGCUAGCUUUUAUAAGCUAAAGUUAGAAUGAUACAGAGAUUAGCACAGCCACUGCAAAAGAAUGAGAUGCAGUUUUGUAAAGCAUUCCAAUGUUUU